AUCAUUCACUUGGGCACUCUAAGGAAACUAGCCGGUGAUAAGCCGGAGGAANGUGGGGAUGACGUCAAUUCCUCAUGGCCCUUACGCGCUGGGCUACACANGUGCUACAAUGGCAACUACAGUGGGCAGCAACCUCGCGAGGGGUAGCUAAUCUCCAAAAGUUGUCUCAGUUCGGAUUGUUCUCUGCAACUCGAGAUCAUGAAGGCGGAAUCGCUAGUNAUCGCNGAUCAGCAUGCCGCGGUGAAUACGUUCCCAGGCCUUGUACACACCGCCCGUCACACCAUGGGAGUUGGUUUCACCCGAANGCAGUGCUCUAACCCGCAAGGGAGGAAGCUGACCACGGUGGGAUCAGCGACUGGGGUGAAGUC
Molecule: ribosomal RNA, 368 nt
Filed under: alpha proteobacterium K-2055
Lineage: Bacteria; Pseudomonadati; Pseudomonadota; Alphaproteobacteria
Description: bacterial SSU rRNA
Rfam family: Bacterial small subunit ribosomal RNA
Source: RNAcentral